Molecule: ribosomal RNA, 470 nt
Filed under: Metschnikowia sp. (in: budding yeasts & allies)
Lineage: Eukaryota; Fungi; Ascomycota; Pichiomycetes; Serinales; Metschnikowiaceae
Description: Metschnikowia sp. (in: Fungi) partial large subunit ribosomal RNA
Rfam family: Eukaryotic large subunit ribosomal RNA
Source: RNAcentral
UACGGCGAGUGAAGCGGCAAAAGCUCAAAUUUGAAAGCUUCGGCAUUGUAAUUUGAAAAGCCCCCACACAAAUUAUACCACGUCAAGUCCAUUGGAAAAUGGCGCCACAGAAGGUGACAGCCCUGUAGACUUCCGUAUAACUACCUCGUGGUGGCUUCAAGAGUCGAGUUGUUUGGGAUUGCAGCUCUAUCGGUGGUAAAUUCCAUCUAAAGCUAAAUACUGGCGAGAGACCGAUAGCGAACAAGUACAGUGAUGGAAAGAUGAAAAGCACUUUGAAAAGAGAGUGAAAAAGUACGUGAAAUUGUUGAAAGGGAAGGGCUUGACCGGCUGGGGAGGUCGGGGAAAAAGAGGUGAAAAAAAGUAGGGAAUGUAACUCUCGAGUAUUAUAUCCCUGCCCCAACACCCUCAUCUUUCCCCGUGGACCGCUAACAGGAUCUCCCCUAAAUCCGGCCAAGUCGCCCGUCUUGAAA